This 440-nucleotide ribosomal RNA is filed under the name uncultured bacterium. RNAcentral's name for it is "bacterial SSU rRNA". It matches the Rfam family "Bacterial small subunit ribosomal RNA", at positions 338 to 795 of the family's 1533-position model. The record is from RNAcentral.
CCUACGGGGGGCAGCAGUGGGGAAUAUUGCACAAUGGGGGAAACCCUGAUGCAGCAACGCCGCGUGAGUGAUGAAGGUUUUCGGAUCGUAAAGCUCUGUCUUUGGGGAAGAUAAUGACGGUACCCAAGGAGGAAGCCACGGCUAACUACGUGCCAGCAGCCGCGGUAAUACGUAGGUGGCGAGCGUUAUCCGGAUUUACUGGGCGUAAAGGGAGCGUAGGCGGAUGAUUAAGUGGGAUGUGAAAUACCCGGGCUCAACUUGGGUGCUGCAUUCCAAACUGGUUAUCUAGAGUGCAGGAGAGGAGAGUGGAAUUCCUAGUGUAGCGGUGAAAUGCGUAGAGAUUAGGAAGAACACCAGUGGCGAAGGCGACUCUCUGGACUGUAACUGACGCUGAGGCUCGAAAGCGUGGGGAGCAAACAGGAUUAGAUACCCCCGUAGUC